AGAGAGAGACAUGCGCGCAUAUCAAUAAGCGGAGGAAAAGAAACUAACAAGGAUUCCCCUAGUAACGGCGAGUGAAGCGGGAAGAGCUCAAAUUUGAAAUCUUAAAGGGUUUCCCUUUACGAAUUGUAGUUUAAAGAAGUGUUUUCUGUUGAGGUUUUGGUAAAAGUUCUUUGGAAUAGGACAUCAUAGAGGGUGAGAAUCCCGUAUUUGACCUUUACUUUCAACUCUGUGAUACACUUUCAAAGAGUCGGAUUGUUUGGGAAUGCAGUCCAAAAUGGGUGGUAAAUUUCAUCUAAAGCUAAAUAUUGGCGAGAGACCGAUAGCGAACAAGUACCGUGAGGGAAAGAUGAAAAGAACUUUGAAAAGAGAGUUAAACAGGUACGUGAAAUUGUCAAAAGGGAAGCGUUUGACACCAGUGUUGUUUUUCUGAAAAUCAAUUAAAGAACUGUUUAUGCUAAGCUGUUUAGACUUUAUCAGCUAUCUGUUUAGUUUUGAGCUUUUCUUUAAUGCACUUUUCAGUUAACAAGUCAACAUCAAUUUCUUUUGCUGUAAAAAAGCUUGAGGAAGGUGGCUUGAGAUUCGUCUUAAGUGUUUAUAGCCUCUUGCCUAUGCAGUCGGAGAGAUUGAGGUCUGCAGCGUAGAUCCUUCGGGGCUAAAUGCAUUUGUGCUAAGUUAUAGCAUUUUAUAGACAACUUGUUGACUAUGAUUUGUCUUGUAGCUUACUCGCUUAUGUUAUUUUACCUACGCUUAGGAUGUUGACGCAUGAGAUAUACGC
This 775-nucleotide ribosomal RNA is filed under the name uncultured Neocallimastigales. RNAcentral's name for it is "partial large subunit ribosomal RNA". It matches the Rfam family "Eukaryotic large subunit ribosomal RNA", at positions 23 to 647 of the family's 3401-position model. The record is from RNAcentral. Lineage: Eukaryota; Fungi; Neocallimastigomycota; Neocallimastigomycetes; Neocallimastigales.